RNAcentral lists this ribosomal RNA (240 nucleotides) under uncultured bacterium. RNAcentral's name for it is "partial 16S ribosomal RNA". It matches the Rfam family "Bacterial small subunit ribosomal RNA", at positions 94 to 334 of the family's 1533-position model. The record is from RNAcentral.
AGUGGCGGACGGGUGAGUAACGCGUGGGUAACCUGCCUCAUACAGGGGGAUAACAGUUAGAAAUGACUGCUAAUACCGCAUAAGACCACAGCACCGCAUGGUGCAGGGGCAAAAACUCCGGUGGUAUGAGAUGGACCCGCGUCUGAUUAGGUAGUUGGUGGGGUAACGGCCUACCAAGCCGACGAUGGAUAGGGGUUCUGAGAGGAAGGUCCCCCACAUUGGUACUGAGACACGGACCAA